RNAcentral lists this long non-coding RNA (227 nucleotides) under Physcomitrium patens. RNAcentral's name for it is "long non-coding RNA (PPAT_LNC009114)". The record is from RNAcentral. Lineage: Eukaryota; Viridiplantae; Streptophyta; Bryopsida; Funariales; Funariaceae.
GUCAUGAUCAUCGCUACAAAAAGAAUAGGAGUGGGGCACCAGUCAGAAGUCAUUCUGUGUUGUCAUUUUUGGUUGUUUUUCUGAGAUUGCCAUAUCUUAUGUUGCUUGCAUAUUCGAGAGUAACAGUACUAGUUAAGAGGUUUAGAGCUUUAGAAGGAGCAUCAUGGCGAUUGAAAGUAUAAAGUAAGAUAGACAUAAAGAAGACAAUGGCCAGAACAUGAGAGCUA